RNAcentral lists this ribosomal RNA (236 nucleotides) under uncultured bacterium. Its description in RNAcentral is "partial 16S ribosomal RNA". It matches the Rfam family "Bacterial small subunit ribosomal RNA", at positions 84 to 334 of the family's 1533-position model. The record is from RNAcentral.
CCAUGAGUACAGUGGCGUACGGGUGAGUAACACGUGGGUAAUCUACCUUUUAGUGUGGAAUAACCCUGGGAAACCGGGGCUAAUACCGCAUAAGCUCGAGAGAGGAAAGUCGAAAGACGCUGAAAGAGGAGCCCGCGGCCGAUUAGCUAGUUGGCAGGGUAAGAGCCUACCAAGGCAGAGAUCGGUAGCCGGCCUGAGAGGGCACACGGCCACACUGGCACUGAAACACGGGCCAG